This 399-nucleotide ribosomal RNA is filed under the name uncultured bacterium. RNAcentral describes it as "bacterial SSU rRNA". It matches the Rfam family "Bacterial small subunit ribosomal RNA", at positions 30 to 429 of the family's 1533-position model. The record is from RNAcentral.
AUUGAACGCUGGCGGCAUGCCUAACACAUGCAAGUCGAACGGCAGCACGGGAGCUUGCUCCUGGUGGCGAGUGGCGGACGGGUGAGUAAUGCAUAGGAAUCUGCCCAGUAGCGGGGGACAACUUGGGGAAACUCAAGCUAAUACCGCAUGCGCCCUACGGGGGAAAGCGGGGGACCUUCGGGCCUCGCACUAUUGGAUGAGCCUAUGUCAGAUUAGCUUGUUGGUGGGGUAACGGCCUACCAAGGCGACGAUCUGUAGCUGGUCUGAGAGGACGAUCAGCCACACUGGGACUGAGACACGGCCCAGACUCCUACGGGAGGCAGCAGUGGGGAAUAUUGCACAAUGGGCGAAAGCCUGAUGCAGCAAUGCCGCGUGUGUGAAGAAGGCCUCGGUUGUAAG